AGUGAACGCUGGCGGUAGGCCUAACACAUGCAAGUCGAACGGCAGCACAGUAAGAGCUUGCUCUUACGGGUGGCGAGUGGCGGACGGGUGAGGAAUACAUCGGAAUCUACUUUUUCGUGGGGGAUAACGUAGGGAAACUUACGCUAAUACCGCAUACGACCUACGGGUAAAGCAGGGGAUCUUCGGACCUUGCGCGAUUGAAUGAGCCGAUGUCGGAUUAGCUAGUUGGCGGGGUAAAGGCCCACCAAGGCGACGAUCCGUAGCUGGUCUGAGAGGAUGAUCAGCCACACUGGAACUGAGACACGGUCCAGACUCCUACGGGAGGCAGCAGUGGGGAAUAUUGGACAAUGGGCGCAAGCCUGAUCCAGCCAUACCGCGUGGGUGAAGAAGGCCUUCGGGUUGUAAAGCCCUUUUGUUGGGAAAGAAAAGCAGCAGGUUAAUACCCCGCUGUUCUGACGGUACCCAAAGAAUAAGCACCGGCUAACUUCGUG
This 491-nucleotide ribosomal RNA is filed under the name uncultured bacterium. RNAcentral describes it as "partial 16S ribosomal RNA". It matches the Rfam family "Bacterial small subunit ribosomal RNA", at positions 29 to 507 of the family's 1533-position model. The record is from RNAcentral.